CACCAUUGGAUGAAGACAUAAUGGGUCAAGUGAAUGGCGCCUUGCAUUGGAGCCCUUGGAUCAUCAUCAUGAAAGAUCAAGAGGUGAGGCGUGAUGGACAUAUGAUUAGCAUGUGAUAUUGACUUGGUCAAAAUAUGGCACCACAUGAAAGGACAUAUCAUUUGAUACACCUCCUCACUUGAUCUGCACCUCCUCUUAUUUGAUAUGGCCCUUUAGAUGAUGCCCUUUCAUGAGAGGAUGUGUGGAUGGGAUGCAUCCCUUGGAGAUGCAUCCCUACACCUAUUAUAAAUAGGUUAGCACUCCAUGGGUUUCAUCAUUCCAAUUCCACCCCACUCCUCUUUUCUUU
This 346-nucleotide long non-coding RNA is filed under the name Phoenix dactylifera (date palm). RNAcentral describes it as "long non-coding RNA (PDAC_LNC009043)". Lineage: Eukaryota; Viridiplantae; Streptophyta; Magnoliopsida; Arecales; Arecaceae. The record is from RNAcentral.